CCAGACUCCUACGGGAGGCAGCAGUGGGGAAUAUUGCACAAUGGGGGAAACCCUGAUGCAGCGACGCCGCGUGAGUGAAGAAGUAAUUCGUUAUGUAAAGCUCUAUCAGCAGGGAAGAAAAUGACGGUACCUGAGUAAGAAGCCCCGGCUAACUACGUGCCAGCAGCCGCGGUAAUACGUAGGGGGCAAGCGUUAUCCGGAUUUACUGGGUGUAAAGGGAGCGUAGACGGCAGUGCAAGUCAGAUGUGAAAUCCACGGGCUCAACCCGUGAACUGCAUUUGAAACUGUUUCCCUUGAGUGUCGGAGAGGUAAUCGGAAUUCCUUGUGUAGCGGUGAAAUGCGUAGAUAUAAGGAAGAACACCAGUGGCGAAGGCGGCUUACUGGACAGUAACUGACGUUGAGGCUCGAAAGCGUGGGGAGCAAACAGGAUUAGAUACCCGAGUA
Molecule: ribosomal RNA, 444 nt
Filed under: uncultured bacterium
Lineage: Bacteria
Description: bacterial SSU rRNA
Rfam family: Bacterial small subunit ribosomal RNA
Source: RNAcentral